AGCGGGGAAAGGUAGCUUGCUACCUGACCUAGCAGCGGACGGGUGAGUAAUGCUUAGGAAUCUGCCUAUUAGUGGGGGACAACAUCUCGAAAGGGAUGCUAAUACCGCAUACGUCCUACGGGAGAAAGCAGGGGACCUUCGGGCCUUGCGCUAAUAGAUGAGCCUAAGUCGGAUUAGCUAGUUGGUGGGGUAAAGGCCUACCAAGGCGACGAUCUGUAGCGGGUCUGAGAGGAUGAUCCGCCACACUGGGACUGAGACACGGCCCAGACUCC
RNAcentral lists this ribosomal RNA (272 nucleotides) under unidentified marine bacterioplankton. RNAcentral describes it as "partial 16S ribosomal RNA". It matches the Rfam family "Bacterial small subunit ribosomal RNA", at positions 65 to 339 of the family's 1533-position model. The record is from RNAcentral.